UUCUGCUGGAGCUAGUUAGCGGCCAUGAAGCAAUGGAUUUGCUAUCUUCAGAGUUGAAUGUAAACAUAGUUGAAUGGGUAGAGAAUUAUCAAGAAUCUGGAAACAUAUCUGCCAUCAUUGAUCCAAGAUUGGGCAAUAGCUUCACCAGAGAAGGCAUGGAAGAGUUCAUGCAAUUGACUGUCCGGUGCGUUGACUCUUCGAGUGAAAAGCGG
RNAcentral lists this unclassified non-coding RNA (212 nucleotides) under Hevea brasiliensis (rubber tree). The record is from RNAcentral. Lineage: Eukaryota; Viridiplantae; Streptophyta; Magnoliopsida; Malpighiales; Euphorbiaceae.